Long non-coding RNA from Xenopus tropicalis (tropical clawed frog), 327 nucleotides. RefSeq lists it as uncharacterized. The record is from RefSeq and is a predicted model, not a curated record. The transcript has 2 exons. Lineage: Eukaryota; Metazoa; Chordata; Amphibia; Anura; Pipidae.
CUCCUCCAAUACGCCCUGCUGACACUGCUUGUUCCAGGUGUGGCACGGCCCAGAUCUCUACGGGGAACAGCAAGAAUCAAUUCCACUUCCCACAAUGCACACCCACGGCCAUGCACUGAAGGAUCGGUCGGAAUGCCGGCCUAGGAUGUAGAAAGGAAGCAAAAUGAAAGUCUGGGGAAGAUAACUGUUCCUGCUCGCACCUCUUUUCACACAGAUCUGAUGGAUGAUAUGGGAAUGGAUAUGAACAUAAAGGGAGUUGUGCGCAAUUCUGCUUUCUUGCUAUGCAACAGGACACUCAUUGAUUAUAGAUGGAAAUGUCACAUCGCA